CACCGACAAAGGCACAAUACCAAGAAUAAACUAAGGACAUGAUGCACAGUUCUCGAAUUUCAUGAAGAUGAUACGAGAAGUUGUUGUGCGUGAUGUCCCCACAGUGGAGACAUGUAGGUGAUGCCGGAAAGUCAGUAAGGAAGAAGUCGGAAGAGACAGAGUAAGGACAAAUGGACUUGUGGUUAUGGUUUCGCGCGCGGGGUUGUAUCUAUGACGUUAGAAUUUUACGUUGAUUAGAAAUUUGACUUAAUAAAUAUUCAAAUGACA
Long non-coding RNA from Stomoxys calcitrans (stable fly), 267 nucleotides. RefSeq lists it as uncharacterized. The record is from RefSeq and is a predicted model, not a curated record. Lineage: Eukaryota; Metazoa; Arthropoda; Insecta; Diptera; Muscidae. The transcript has 2 exons.